UGGGGAAUAUUGGACAAUGGGCGAAAGCCUGAUCCAGCCAUGCCGCGUGUGUGAAGAAGGUCUUCGGAUUGUAAAGCACUUUAAGUUGGGAGGAAGGGCAUUAACCUAAUACGUUAGUGUUUUGACGUUACCGACAGAAUAAGCACCGGCUAACUCUGUGCCAGCAGCCGCGGUAAUACAGAGGGUGAAAGCGUUAAUGGGAAUUACUGGGCGUAAAGCGCGCUUAGGUGGUUUGUUAAGUUGGAUGUGAAAUCCCCGGGCUCAACCUGGGAACUGCAUUCAAAACUGACUGACUAGAGUAUGGUAGAGGGUGGUGGAAUUUCCUGUGUAGCGGUGAAAUGCGUAGAUAUAGGAAGGAACACCAGUGGCGAAGGCGACCACCUGGACUAAUACUGACACUGAGGUGCGAAAGCGUGGGGAGCAAACA
RNAcentral lists this ribosomal RNA (427 nucleotides) under uncultured bacterium. RNAcentral describes it as "partial 16S ribosomal RNA". It matches the Rfam family "Bacterial small subunit ribosomal RNA", at positions 355 to 774 of the family's 1533-position model. The record is from RNAcentral.